RNAcentral lists this transfer RNA (63 nucleotides) under human gut metagenome. It matches the Rfam family "tRNA", at positions 6 to 65 of the family's 71-position model. Rfam says of the family: Transfer RNA (tRNA) molecules are approximately 80 nucleotides in length. The record is from RNAcentral. RNAcentral also lists the same sequence under 2 other names.
AAUAGCUCAGUUGGUUAGAGCAUCUGACUGUUAAUCAGAGGGUCGUAGGUUCAAGUCCUACUU